This is a long non-coding RNA of Salvelinus fontinalis (brook trout), 1645 nucleotides long. RefSeq lists it as uncharacterized. The transcript has 3 exons. Lineage: Eukaryota; Metazoa; Chordata; Actinopteri; Salmoniformes; Salmonidae. The record is from RefSeq and is a predicted model, not a curated record.
GAUCUGCAGUGUAGCAUCUUGUGUCAUUAAAAUGAGCUUUUCGUUAUGCGUAGAUAAUCCUUUCUACUGCAGUUUUUUCUAAAGAUUUAAUGUUAGCCAUGGAGAACUACAGAUAUGUUGCUACUGCUCUCAAUAACAUUGCUGCCUUAAAUUUAUCAGGCGCUAUCGACAAAAGUCAGUGGGAAAAAGUUGUAAUGGACUACUUUCUGGAGGACGAUCGUGCCAUGCUGACUCUCUCUGAGUCUGAAAAUGAAUCAGACAAUGAGGAAAUCCCUGAUUUAGGUCAAAACAUUUUAAUUGAGUCUUUAGUCUUCUCAUGCCAUUAAUGGGGAAGAAACGGUGAUCAACAGUAUUGUUGUCACGGAAGAAGUUGACCUAGUUUUGAAAUCAGUGGAACACAACGGGCUAAACAAGCUGUACAAACUAAACGGAAACGACACAGGACGUCUUAUUUAAUGAAAGGGGUUGCAGUCUGCCGUGAAGCUUUCAUCCAUGUACAUGGUAUCAGUAGAACACGCCUGACUCUCCUCCACCAGUCAUACAAGGAGAAUGGUCUAAUGCCUCCCAUCAAAAAGAGAGCUGGCCCAAGCAAGCAAAGGUAGCAGCUGAGUCAUCACCUACGUGCUCCAUUUCUUCACCAAGUACAGAGUUGGGGAAACACGUGUGGACCUGAAUUGUGAUAACUGCAGUGACCAAAACAAGAACAAGUUUGUGCUCUGGUACCUUCACUUCCUGAUCCCAGGUCACACCAAGUUUGCCCACGACUGGUUAUUCGGUCUCAUCAAGCAGCGCUUCAGAAAGACCAGAGUGAACACUUUGUCUGAGAUUGCUGGUGUUGUGAAAAGGACAGCACUGUGAUAGGGGUCAACAUCCCACAGCUGGUUGGACUGGAGGAACGUACGGUGCUGGUGGAAAGCUAUGGCUGGGAUAAACACCUGACUCCGUACUUCAGGCCGCUGCCACAGAUCAAGCAGUACCAGCACUUCAGCCUCGAUGCUCUGGAGCCUGGUGUUGUUGUCGCCAAGAAGCAUUCUGACUGUCGGGCGCAACACUGACAUUAUUUCUCCCAUAGAUGGUCUGCCUGUAUGAGCACCACCUGGACUGGACACAGCUGUCUGGUUUAAUAUAAGGAAUUUGAAAUGAUUUAUUCUUAAGUAUGACAAUUUAGUACUUUUUCCACCACUGGAUGUGCCUGGGGGUUAUAGCAUUUCUUUCACAUGACCCAUCAAUUUAGAUAAGUGUGUCUGGGUAACCGUUAUCUAAUAAUUAUAAAAUAUCUGGACACUCUGUUUACCUGGAAUUUUCCCUUAUUGUAGGCUACUACCAGUAUUAGUCUUAACUUUACUACACUACUCACUGUUUAGCACAUGACUUCAUGUGAAUCCUUAAAGAGAUGUGUGGGGCUGGCUUAAGAGGGUGUGAACAAUGCUGAAUGGGUGUAGUCAAAGGAGAGCUCUCCAGUAGGUACCACCACACUCAAAGGCCCUUUUCUCAAAACUGAGUUUACAAGUGUAUCAACUUUCAAAGCAGAAUUACUUUCCCAUUGUUCCUCAAAAAUGAUGUGUAUGAUAUACCAUUUUGUAGCUCUGAGUCUCUACUUUUAUCCAAUGUAAAAAUACUAAAUAAAUCAAAUUUUACUACAUAA